RNAcentral lists this ribosomal RNA (301 nucleotides) under uncultured bacterium. RNAcentral's name for it is "partial 16S ribosomal RNA". It matches the Rfam family "Bacterial small subunit ribosomal RNA", at positions 509 to 809 of the family's 1533-position model. The record is from RNAcentral.
CAGCAGCCGCGGUAAUACAGAGGGUGCGAGCGUUAAUCGGAUUUACUGGGCGUAAAGCGUGCGUAGGCGGCUAAUUGAGUCGGAUGUGAAAUCCCCGAGCUUAACUUGGGAAUUGCAUUCGAUACUGGUUAGCUAGAGUGUGGGAGAGGAUGGUAGAAUUCCAGGUGUAGCGGUGAAAUGCGUAGAGAUCUGGAGGAAUACCGAUGGCGAAGGCAGCCAUCUGGCCUAACACUGACGCUGAGGUACGAAAGCAUGGGGAGCAAACAGGAUUAGAUACCCCCGUAGUCCCUGUCUCUUAUAA